Molecule: ribosomal RNA, 253 nt
Filed under: uncultured bacterium
Lineage: Bacteria
Description: partial 16S ribosomal RNA
Rfam family: Bacterial small subunit ribosomal RNA
Source: RNAcentral
GACGUAGGUGGCGAGCGUUGUUCGGAAUCACUGGGCCUAAAGCGCACGUAGGCGGCCAUGUCAGUCGGGUGUGAAAUCCCCGGGCUCAACCCGGGAACUGCGUCCGAUACUGGCAGGCUUGAAUCCGGGAGAGGGAUGCGGAAUUCCAGGUGUAGCGGUGAAAUGCGUAGAUAUCUGGAGGAACACCGGUGGCGAAGGCGGCAUCCUGGACCGGCAUUGACGCUGAGGCGCGAAAGCCAGGGGAGCAAACGGG